Molecule: non-coding RNA, 148 nt
Organism: Homo sapiens (human)
Lineage: Eukaryota; Metazoa; Chordata; Mammalia; Primates; Hominidae
Rfam family: Metazoan signal recognition particle RNA
About the family: The signal recognition particle (SRP) is a universally conserved ribonucleoprotein. It is involved in the co-translational targeting of proteins to membranes.
Source: Rfam
GCUGGGUGUGGUGGUGUACACCUGUGGUCCUAGCUACUCAGGAGGCUGAGGCAGGAGGAUUGCUUGAGCCCAGGAGGUUGAGGCUGCAGUCAGCUGUGAUCACACCACUGCACUUCAGCUUGGGCAACACAGUGAGACCCUGUCUCAG